GUGCUCACUUUAGCUGCACAUAUACUAAAACUGGAACAUUACAGAGAAGAUUAGCAUGGCCUCUGCACAAGGAUGACAUGCAAAUUCAUGAAGCGUUCCAUGUUUUU
Balaenoptera ricei (Rice's whale) is the source of this 107-nucleotide small nuclear RNA. The record is from RefSeq and is a predicted model, not a curated record. NCBI's taxonomy places the organism in Eukaryota, Metazoa, Chordata, Mammalia, Artiodactyla, Balaenopteridae.